AAGACUGAAGAUAUAACUGCCUCCAUCCUUUAAUUUAUUUAUUUCUACGUUGAGGACACUUUAUAAACCUACAGAGAUACCGGACCAACGAACGACCUUCACAACGGGACGGAGCUAACGUAAUUAACGUUAACGGUUACUUGGAAAUUCAAACAGUAACGGUCAUCUGACAACUGCGCUGAGCCAAAGGACGGGAACAGCAACAAGAGUUUAACUUCUGAUUCGUAAUCUACACACUCUACUGGGCAGUUCAUGAAGACAGAUAGAUGUUGUGCCGACAAGGACAGUUCCUCCUACCACACCAGACUUUGCUGUAUAUGGAUGCCUGACCACUAGCACUGGACAUUUACAACAUUUUGGCGCCAGGGAUCCCUUGCAGAGAAGAUUUUUCAAAGACACCCUCAGAAUUACAACAGAUUUUAAGGCUUAAAAUUAUUGUGGGUGGGAGUAUAAUGAACAUAAUAUGAUUGUUUUAUUUUAUUAUUAUUAUUUAUUUUUAAAUAGUUCCAAUUUUUUAAUAAUACAUUUGUUUAAUAAUACAGCACAAUAUAGGGCUAAGUUGCACCAGGUCAGGAGAAAAAACACAUAAGUUGCAUCCGUGUAUAAGACACAUUUUACUAUUAAUUUCAGAAAUAAUUUAAAUACUGAUAAAUAAAACAAACGUUAAGAAACUUAAAAACUAUGAACACUGUAAAGAUUUUAUUUUCCCUCACUUCAAAUCAUUUAAAUUGAAUACUAUUCAAAACAGAAUAAAAAAUAAAAAUAUUUAGGCCUAUGUAUAAAAUAAAAAAAAUUCUGGUGCCAUUAUUUACAAGCAGUAUAUCUUUUGUUAAUUAAAAUGCACUUGCUAUCUCAGUUUCUGUGAACCUCAUUCUGAAAUGUAGAAAACACAGUGGUACAGACAAUACCACUGUGUACAGACAGGCUUGUCACA
Cyprinus carpio (common carp) is the source of this 934-nucleotide long non-coding RNA. RefSeq lists it as uncharacterized. The record is from RefSeq and is a predicted model, not a curated record. Lineage: Eukaryota; Metazoa; Chordata; Actinopteri; Cypriniformes; Cyprinidae.